RNAcentral lists this non-coding RNA (20 nucleotides) under Arabidopsis thaliana (thale cress). The record is from RNAcentral. Lineage: Eukaryota; Viridiplantae; Streptophyta; Magnoliopsida; Brassicales; Brassicaceae.
AUAAAAGGUCGACGCGGGCU